AUCUACUUGCUGUCUCAUUGGCCAAACAGUAUUUUAUUUAACAAUCAAUAAGAUAAACAUACACAGAAGUACUUACCCCAUCAUUCUAAUGCUAGAAGCUGCUGUGCAGAUGUUGGGGACAAAAGUCAUCAAUGGUCUUCCCCAUCUGUCAACACUGUAUGCUUCAAUGCCAACCUUCCAGAGUUUUCCAGCUCAGUAGAGUGCAUCUACCAUGUUCAGAAGACUACCCAACUCCAUAUGUGAUUCAGCCCAGCUUUUGCCCUCUGAAAUCUUUUGACAAGCCCCAUCUCUCAUCUCCAGUUGGAGUCAUCCUGUCACUGCAAAGACUCAGGAUGGUGCUGAACAGCAAACCAUGUACACAGCCUGGGAUCAGCUUCCAAAGAGCUCUUUGAAGGCUGCUGGGGCUCUAACAAAGUCUCAGAGCAAGACAACAGACUUCAUUACAAUCAAGUCUAAUUGUUCAGCAAGCCGCCUUUCUUAAGGCCAAUCAGCUCAUUUGUGUUAAAAUAAUUCCCAGAGAGUCAUCUUAUUCCCCAGAUUCCUGACUCGGCAGCUCAUCACAUCACCGUUCCCUUCAGCUACCUCAAAAACUUAAUAAAGCCAGAAAGAUUAUCAGUGCAAGCCUGUGGCUAUCUGAGUCCAUUUCCACCCCAACCAGAAGCAAGUGCAAGGUGCUUCAAGCAGGAUUUACAGAAGUUUGUCCUGAAGCUUCAUUGUUGACUAUUCUCCUACUACCAGUACCUAGC
RNAcentral lists this long non-coding RNA (746 nucleotides) under Cricetulus griseus (Chinese hamster). RNAcentral's name for it is "lncRNA (ENSCGRG00015029297.1)". The record is from RNAcentral. Lineage: Eukaryota; Metazoa; Chordata; Mammalia; Rodentia; Cricetidae.